Molecule: ribosomal RNA, 497 nt
Filed under: uncultured bacterium
Lineage: Bacteria
Description: partial 16S ribosomal RNA
Rfam family: Bacterial small subunit ribosomal RNA
Source: RNAcentral
GAUGAACGCUGGCGGCGUGCCUAAUACAUGCAAGUCGAGCGAACAGACGAGGAGCUUGCUCCUCUGACGUUAGCGGCGGACGGGUGAGUAACACGUGGAUAACCUACCUAUAAGACUGGGAUAACUUCGGGAAACCGGAGCUAAUACCGGAUAAUAUAUUGAACCGCAUGGUUCAAUAGUGAAAGACGGUUUUGCUGUCACUUAUAGAUGGAUCCGCGCCGCAUUAGCUAGUUGGUAAGGUAAAGGCUUACCAAGGCAACGAUGCGUAGCCGACCUGAGAGGGUGAUCGGCCACACUGGAACUGAGACACGGUCCAGACUCCUACGGGAGGCAGCAGUAGGGAAUCUUCCGCAAAGGGCGAAAGCCUGACGGAGCAACGCCGCGUGAGUGAUGAAGGUCUUCGGAUCGUAAAACUCUGUUAUUAGGGAAGAACAAAUGUGUAAGUAACUAUGCACGUCUUGACGGUACCUAAUCAGAAAGCCACGGCUAACUACGUG